CGCAGGCUCACCUCGGCGUAUAGUAAUAAGCUCGUAUUUAUGUACGUAAUAGUCGACUCAUGCUUGUGGUAACACCGCGGAAAAACGUCUGCGCAUGUGUCAACCUUACCUGUAAUAGAAUUGCGAACUUGAUGAGAAGCUGUUCCGAACGUUUCCGAAGGCUCAAAAUGGCGGUAAAAAGGAGUGACUUCAUUGUGCGUCUUUACAGCCAGAUUUCGAGCGCAAUAAUAAACAUGUCAUUCUAAAAACUAGGAAUAAAUACAGCCAGAAGGUUCAAAAAAUUGUAUUGCACAAGAACAUGAACUAAAGGUAAUUGUUGACAAAUUUAUCGUCUGAAACAUUUUGUUUAUCAACUAAGCAACGACAAUUUCCGAAUUUUCGUUUGAGAUACAUUUCUUUAAAAAAAAC
Non-coding RNA from Paramuricea clavata, 408 nucleotides. The record is from the annotation of a GenBank genome assembly. Lineage: Eukaryota; Metazoa; Cnidaria; Anthozoa; Malacalcyonacea; Plexauridae.